AACAGUUGGCAGUUAACAGUCGGGAGGGUAAAACACAAUCAUGGUGCCAUAAAAGAGUGAAGGAGCCGGCAUUACACACAGACAGCCCGCAGAAGGGCAGCAACGUUUUGGAGCUCCUUUUAGUUCUCUUUAUUGAUAUAUUUUAAUUGAACCCAGAUUUUUUUUUUCCUGUCUAGCCCUUGGAGACAAGCUCUGCCAGAGCUCGUAUAGCAGAGAGAAGGUCUUGAGAUUAGUGAUACUCAGCGUUUCUGACACUGGAGACCUGCAUAAGAAUUUAACAAACUGGGAAGCAGUUUUCAUGACAACCCUUUUCAUUGCAUAGAUGUUACCAAGAGUUUGGGGGUGUUUUUAAGAAAAGCCAUUAGGCUGGAAGUCAGACACACCUGGAUUUGAGAUCCGCUCUGCUACUUCGUACUUGCGUGGUUUUGAGGAAUCAUUUGGCCUCUUUUCAGGUUUUAGAUCCUUCACCUGUAAAAUGAGGAUGGUUGUGAGAAAGGGAAAUUGCUCUGUAAACAGUGAAGCACUAUUCAAAUGCUCAGGCUUUGUAAAAAAUUGAUGGAAAAUGUCAUAAGAAGUGGGCAGUUCUGGUUUGCUUCCAUUGCUAUAGGAAGCUGGCACACACAAGAAAGUUUAUUGACAGCAGCUGAGAUGUGCUGAAGCUGGUAAUUAUCUUCAAGACAGGCUGAGUUUUGAUUGUACGUAAGGGUGCCUGGUAGACCUAUCAAUCAGACAUAUGCCUUGAUGUAAUGCUGACAGUCUAUUUACACAGAGGCAGCUGUGAUAUUAUAAAAGAAUGAAAGGCAUGCUGAAGGUCUAAGUUGUUGUAGGAUGGUAAAAAUCUGGUGUGAACAUGAGCGAAAGAGUUUCUGAAUUUUCAUUAUGAUCCAGCAUUUUAGAGAUGUAUGAAAACUUAGCAAUGAUUGAAUUCAACCCCUUCUCCGCAUGGAUAAGGACACUGACACCCAUUAAUGUCUGAGUGGUUAUUAAUGCAGAGAGAAAAAGUCACUGUUACCUGUCUUUUAUGAAUGUGCUAACUCAUUAAUCUAUAAACAACACUUCUUCUAAUAUUUAGCAUUUAACAAUUCCAAAUAUUUAUUCACUAUUUACACAUAAUCAGCAAAAGCACAAAACUUCGCAUUAAAUCUCCCCAGACAUUUAAGCAUUCAUUACAAAUUUGUAAUCAAGCUCUUAGAUAAACAAAUAAUUAAAACUAUGAAUCUAAUAAAUCAGAUUUGUUGGCAUGCUCUAAACACCUUAAGAAGUGACAAUACAUGCACAGAAUGUCACUUUGAUUACCGAAAUUAUUAUACUAUGGGGAAAUGGCUUGCUGAGACCCUGAAGAGCCAGAGAGAAGAUACUGCUCACACAUGUGAAGGAUACACACUCUGUUUUCUCCUCCUUCUGUAUGAGAGAGCCUGCUGAUGUUUUGUGACUCAAAAAGUACGAGGAGGUCUAUGAGCAUAUUUUCAAUUAAGCGCAUGAGUUGUCGGCAUAAAUUCUUUCUGAAAUGAUGAUACAAUUCCAUAGCAAAACCAGGUUAUAGUAUAGUGGAAAUGAGUACCUUAGCUCUGUUAGCCUCCUACUCCAAGGACUGUAUUUCUGAAGGGAGCACACUUGUUUUGGGAAUUCUGGGAGCCAAGGGCUGGCUGCACUGUGAAUGUGUUUUGCUGCUCCAGCUUCUUAUGGCCCCAGAUUUCUGAUCAUAUUCUGCAUCCUUGGCUAAUUCUCUCAGGAAUUUUACAGUGAAAAGGAGAACAAGAGUGAGAACACAAGAAUAAGAUCAAGAAAGGUCUCUUCUCACCAGUGCUAUAAUCCACCUGAAAAGCUGUAGCCACUUGCACUACUAAAACCAGUCAUAAAAGUGCUAAUACAGUACACUAUGAAUUUAAAUUUGUGUCUUUAUUCUCUUCAUUCUAAUUGUUACUGUUUAAUGUUAUAGCUUCCCAAGGUUAUUAGUGUUAUACCUUUCCAGUAUCACAGUAAUUUUUAUAGGAUAUAAUUGCUAUACUUUCCCAGACAGAGUCACUGAAUUUACAAAAGCCCCCAAAGGAAAAAAAAAAAAUAGGACUUCAGAACAGCUGAGUUUAUAGGUUCAGGAGUUUUGACACAGAACUGGCCAUUCCUGAGACUGUCCUUGCCUGUGUGGUUGAAGAUGGACACGAGCACAUCAGAAUUCCAGCAGCAGGGUGGGAAGAGGAAGUGGAACGGAAGAAAUGCCUUUUUCUUUGACAAGCGUGACCCAGAAGUUUCCUCUCUCUCUUCUGCUCAUUUUUAUCUGGGAACUUGGCCACACCCAGCAGCAAGGGAGGCUGGAAAUAACGCUGCCCAUGCCCAGACCAAAAAUGGGGUGUCUUUUUAGUCUAAAAGGAGGGAGGAACUAGCACUGUGUGACAUCUAACAGUGUCUGCCACUGUCCAUGCUUUUGGCCACCAGAUAUUUGUGGGUCCUCCUCACAGACACAUCUACCCUCUCUCUGAGGGAGACGAGGCCCAAAUGCCUCGAUUCCAUGCAAAGAUCAGGAGCACCUGCAGGAAAAGCACUUGGGACCAGGAGGAGCUCCUGGAGAAGCUGGAUCACUCUGUUACCCCCAAGCUCUCCCUUACCCCAUACUUAACAGUGGUUCUGUAUAGGAAAAUUGCAAUAACAUUUCCCAUUCUGAAAAAAGAUAAGAAAACACGUAUAAGUUACUCAGGUCCAUAUCAAUGCUCAAAUCUUGCUGAGCAGGAGCUAAAAAGUCUUUUUUCUAUGUUAGCAGGCGAAUCUCUGGGUCAGUCCAUCUGGCAACCCUGGUUGUACUUUCCAGGAGAGCCUCCCUUGGCUGACAUGGUCCAGAAGAUUCUCCCCUGUCCAUCUGAAGCAGACAUUUAGGCGAUGGCCCUGGGAGGGGUGGGGAGGGGCUGCAGAGCUUUUACAGUUCCUUCCCUCAGGGGCAUGGUUGGGGCCCCCGGCAGCCUCCUGGCUCCAGGGCUUUGACAAGUCAGACUUAGAGUUUCCUGGGCAGUAAAAUUCCCUAAGAAACCCACGUAGGCUUUAAGAAUAUUUGCUUCCGGUCCAGUUCAUGCACAAAUAACUAAAGACAAAAUCUGGUUUGGCAUGCUUUUAGCCUAAAAACUUUAUUUACUGAUGUCCACGCUCUGCUUAGCCCCAGUGUCUCAAUUUAAAUGCAAUUGUCCUGAGUCUAUCCGAAGAAACAGGCUUGAGUGAGAGGCAACAUCCUUGAUUUGAUCUUUGCUGCUGUCUGUUACUUGACAGAGAGCUCUGGAUAGCGGUGCUUGAGGAAGGCUUGAGGACAAAGUCUGAGCUUUUGCUAAUUCUUUGGAGCUUCCUUGAGGACUCAAAUGGUGUCAUGAGUUCUCUCUCUCUGUCUCUGCAUCUCUUGGCUGUGCUGCCCUCUGGGUCUCAGGCAGGCUUCAUCAGUAUACCUAGGCCUAUAGAAGUCAUUACCACAUCUGAUUUUCCAGGAAGACACGCAUAAUCUCCUCUAGCAUCCAUAUAUAAAGGAUUAGAAAAGUUCCCAAUUGGCCCAGUUGACAUCCGAUACCCACCUGAAUCAGUCAUUAGGCCCAGGGGAUGGAGUUCUUUGGCUAGCCUGGGACAUCUGCCCAUCACAGCAUGGAGCGUCACGAUAGGGGAUCUGACUGGGACCACAUAAAGUACAUGAGAGGUGGCCCUCUUUUUCCUCCCACAAGAAAUGGAGGGAGGUGCUGUCAGACAAAAGGGGAAGGUAGGCUUGGCAAGCAAAAAUGAAAGGCAUCCGAGACAUCUGGCCACCAGCAGGGGCCACAGUGCUCGCGGGGUCUGGAAGGCUUAGUAAAGAUGGGUGGAACUACGCAGUAGUAGUUAAUAAGGUUUGCUAAAACCUGGGCCAUCUCUCUGCAAGUGUCCUUAUGUUAGUUCAGAGGCCCAGAGCAGGCCAGGGUAGAGGCCACAUGGAGACAAAGCAGCAUUUCUUCUGCAGAACUCGGCUAAGUGUAGUCUGAGCCUGGUGCACCCCUGCCUCUGGUCCUGCCCCUGCUAGAUAAAGCUCAGAACGAAACGUCUUUCUCCUCCCACUCCUCUUUCUCUUUGCCUUCUCUCCAAAAGAACCUCCCACCGGCAUCCUUAGCCUGAUCUGGCCCCUCCACUGGCCUCUGAGUGUGGAGUGAGACAGAGCUGAAAUGGAGAAGCCGGGCUUGGCUGGAAGCGAGGAGGGUGGAAGUGAAGUCCGUCACCGCUGGUGGGAGGUAGGUGAGGGCAGAGGCCAGUCACCUCCUACACCAGCCUCACUGGCCAAGUUGGUCAGCGCGGAAUGGAGUCUCAGCCUGUCUUCUUUACCUUCACCACCUUUUGUCGGCCACAACAGUAUGUCCCCUCCUGCAUAGCUUCCUGAACUGUGACCUUGCCACUCUUCCAUCACGAGGUGGUGUCUGUUUCACCACCUCCUGAAGCUGGGCAGGCCCUGGAAGUGAUGCUGUGCUACUCCCAGGCAGAGCCUUUCAUGGGCCCGGUGGCUUUGCUUUCUGCCUCUUGGAAGCCGGCUACAAUGAAGGAAGUUUGUCUAUAUCCUGAGACCACUAUGCUGUGAGCAGCCCGUGAACCCACCGGAGAGGUCUUGCAGGAGGAAAUGGCCCAUGGAGAGAGAGAGAAGCCAAGGAUCACAAGGCACCAGACCCAGAACUUUUAAUAUUACAGAAUUUUAACAAUUUCUCUGAUUCUAUACUGUAUCUCUCCUAUGCUUAAAGUCUAGAAUCCCAAUGGCAUUCAUUAACAUAAUCACUGAUCUUACAAUAUAUAUACAAUAAAUUUAUAUACGAUAAAUAAGAUCACUGAUCUUACUAUAUAUCUUACGAUAUAUAAAUACUGUAAUUCUUACAACAGAUAAAUAUAUUUUACAUUAUUCAAAUAUUAUUAUUUGAAAUAUCAAAUAUUACUAUCUGAAAUAUUAUUAUUAUAAAAGACCACUGCUUUAUGACUAUACAGUCAAAAUACUGAGUCUUAACGUGUUUUGAAAUGAUUCUUUUCCCUGCAUGAUUAUAUCAUCAACUUAAUGUCUAGUUAGGUUCAUUUGUUUCCAUGGUUUUCAGGUUUUAGAGACUGUUUCUUUUUAAAAAUGUAAAACAUGUACGUUGUUCCAAAGUCAAAAUAUGUCCCCAGGUAAUUUGAUUUGAGUUUAAUUUUGUUUUUCAGCCAUGUAAAACAUAUUGAAUAGCUGACAUUGUCCAAAAAAGUUGACAUUCCAUCUCUCCAUCCUGUUCCCUCCAAUCCUCUAUAAUAAUCAUUUCCUUUAGUUUUGGGAUUUAUCCUUCCAUUGUUUCUUUUCAAAAAUAUAAGCCAAUAUGCAUUUACAUGUUUAUAUGUCUAUUAUAUUACCCCCUUUCUUAUGAAAAGGCUUGCACACUAUAAACACUAGUGUGUAUGCCUAAGAGCUAGGGUUUCUAUCUAUCUGUAUUAAUUGAAGUAUCCGAACGGCUACUAUAUGCAAAGCUGGGUGGUAGGCACUAAGAGUCAAGUCUUCAAUGGAGAAGAAACACUUAUACACCAGGUCAUUUCUAUGACUCAAUGUCAGAUUUUCAAGGUUUCAAAUCCUAUGGCUGAUUUCUCCCAUGUGAUUGGGGUCUACCCUAAAUCUGACCUGUGAUGAAGCUCUUGUUUCUGGGGAUAAAUGUGCCGAGAAGUCUUUCAUGUAUCCACAAAUGAGGAUGUUCUUGAUUAAAGAAAUGGCUGAGGUGAGGCAAUUUGCUUGAGACCACAGAAAGUUCCUUUAGAGAAUGUUCCUUGACUUGCCUGGGAUGUGUUCCUAAAGAUGCUUCAGGUAAAGAUUAAGCAAGUGUAGAAAUGGAGUGGAGUGACCUAGACCUAGACCCUGCCCUUGCACUUUGUAUUAGCUACUGAAUUCCAUUAAAUGAGUUGUUAAAUUUUUUAGUCAUUUUUAGGCAUGUGACCUCUGUAUUUCCUAUGAAAAUAUCUAUGGGUCAAUUUUACAUAUAAAUUUUUACAUAUAAAUAUAAAUUUAUUUUUA
Molecule: long non-coding RNA, 5998 nt
Filed under: Homo sapiens (human)
Lineage: Eukaryota; Metazoa; Chordata; Mammalia; Primates; Hominidae
Description: HSALNT0349702
Source: RNAcentral